This 442-nucleotide ribosomal RNA is filed under the name Cascogaster sp. CXX-2005. Its description in RNAcentral is "eukaryotic LSU rRNA". The record is from RNAcentral. Lineage: Eukaryota; Metazoa; Arthropoda; Insecta; Hymenoptera; Braconidae.
UGAGAACCCAAAAGAUCGAAUGAGGAGAUUCAUCGUCAGGAUAUUUAGUAUUAAUGCAAGUUAUGAUAUAGUAUGUAAUCCUUGUGGUUAAUUUUACUGUACAUUCUUGUAUUAUUUGCUGAAUAUGUCGGCGUGCACUUCUCCUCUAGUAGAACGUCGUGACCCGUUAGAUGUUGAUCUAUGGCCUAAAUGGUAGUCUCUGAAUAUUGCUUGCAAUUUUUGGAGACCUUUAGUGACCUGAUCAGCUGUUUGACGGUAUUCAUAUGAUAAUAAGCCGCUGUAUAGCGUUAAAUCCAUUGCAAGUGCGGUCAAUUAUUGGCAGUAUGGAUCUGAUGCCAUCGCUGAGAUUGACCAACUGUUGGUAAUGGUUUUCUUUAACUGGCUUUAUUUAUCGGUCAACGACGCUACUGCUUUGGGUACUUUCAGGACCCGUCUUGAAACA